RNAcentral lists this ribosomal RNA (829 nucleotides) under uncultured Syndiniales. RNAcentral describes it as "bacterial SSU rRNA". It matches the Rfam family "Eukaryotic small subunit ribosomal RNA", at positions 52 to 897 of the family's 1831-position model. The record is from RNAcentral. Lineage: Eukaryota; Dinophyceae; Syndiniales.
UGCAUGUCUCAGUAUAAGUCAUUUUACGACGAAACUGCGAAUGGCUCAUUAAAACAGUUAUAGUUUCUUUGCUGGUCAAUCGUUAUACGGAUAACUGUGGUAAUUCUAGAGCUAAUACGUGCACAAAGACCCGACUUCACGGAAGGGUUGCAUUCAUUAGAUACAGAACCAUCCCCUUCGGGGUUUUGGAUGAUCCAUAAUGAAUGAGCGGAGCGCAUGGCUUGUGUCGGCGCUGUAGCAUUCAAGUUUCCGACCUAUCAGCUUUCGACGGUAGGGUAUUGGCCUACCGUGGCAUUGACGGGUAACGGAGAAUUAGGGUUCGAUUCCGGAGAGGGAGCCCGAGAAACGGCUACCACAUCUAAGGAAGGCAGCAGGCGCGCAAAUUACCCAAUUUUGACACAGGGAGGUAGUGACAAGAAAUAACAGUGCUGUUCUCUUUGAGAAUAUGCAUCUGGAAUGAUUUGCAUGUAAAUAUCGCUUGGACUAUCAAUUGGAGGGCAAGUCUGGUGCCAGCAGCCGCGGUAAUUCCAGCUCCAUUAGUGUAUAUUAAAGUUGUUGCGGUUAAAAAGCUCGUAGUUGGAUUUCUGUUGGGUAUCGCGUGGUCUGCUCCUCGAGUACGUAUCUGCGUCGAUCCUGGCAUCCUCGCAACGCUCUGUGGCAUUAAUUUGCUGCUUGGCUUGCGACUUCUACUUUGAGGAAAUUAGAGUGUUCACGGCAGGCAUUUGCUUUGAAUAUAUAGCAUGGAAUAAUAACAUAGGACUUCGGUUUUAUUUUGUUGGUUUCUAAGGCUGAAGUAAUGAUUAAUAGGGACAAUUGGGGGCACUCGUAC